Molecule: ribosomal RNA, 641 nt
Filed under: bacterium Ca.J8A
Lineage: Bacteria
Description: bacterial SSU rRNA
Rfam family: Bacterial small subunit ribosomal RNA
Source: RNAcentral
CGGAGCUACCAUGCAAGCUGAGCGGUAGAGAUCUUUCGGGAUCUUGAGAGCGGCGUACGGGUGCGGAACACGUGUGCAACCUGCCUUUAUCAGGGGGAUAGCCUUUCGAAAGGAAGAUUAAUACUCCAUAAUAUAAUUUACGGCAUCGUGAAUUAUUGAAAACUCCGGUGGAUAGAGAUGGGCACGCGCAAGAUUAGAUAGUUGGUGAGGUAACGGCUCACCAAGUCGAUGAUCUUUAGGGGGCCUGAGAGGGUGAUCCCCCACACUGGUACUGAGACACGGACCAGACUCCUACGGGAGGCAGCAGUGAGGAAUAUUGGACAAUGGGUUAGCGCCUGAUCCAGCCAUCCCGCGUGAAGGACGACGGCCCUAUGGGUUGUAAACUUCUUUUGUACAGGGAUAAACCUAUCUACGUGUAGAUAGCUGAAGGUACUGUACGAAUAAGCACCGGCUAACUCCGUGCCAGCAGCCGCGGUAAUACGGAGGGUGCAAGCGUUAUCCGGAUUUAUUGGGUUUAAAGGGUCCGUAGGCGGAUGCGUAAGUCAGUGGUGAAAUCUCACAGCUCAACUGUGAAACUGCCAUUGAUACUGCGUGUCUUGAGUAAGGUAGAAGUAGCUGGAAUAAGUAGUGUAGCGGUGAAA